Long non-coding RNA from Lontra canadensis (Northern American river otter), 463 nucleotides. RefSeq lists it as uncharacterized. The transcript is spliced from 3 exons. NCBI's taxonomy places the organism in Eukaryota, Metazoa, Chordata, Mammalia, Carnivora, Mustelidae. The record is from RefSeq and is a predicted model, not a curated record.
UUCUCUCCUCACUGCACUUCUUCCCUCCUCUAGGCCAAGUCAGGAGUCCGAGGAAAGCAAAAGAACACAUACAAGAUGGCCUCUGUAAAGCCUUAUUCCUGUCCCAGCAAAGGUGAAGUCUCUAAGGGUGCUGCCGUGCACCCCAGUCUUGUGACCCUUGCCUUCCAGGAGCCACUGAAGAAAAGGAGCCACUGGAGGUCUUUCAAACAGCAGGAAGAUUGGGCCUGUCCCCCUUUGGUGCAGAUCCCAAUCUGCUGAGGAGACCUGGAGCCCAGUCCUCCACACCUGCCAGAGGGUCCCAUCCUCUUCCUGGUGGAGGAGGUAGAAGGGAAGACAGCCUCUCCUGUGGCUGAGGAACACCACCCACCAGGGACUGCUCAUCCCAGCACUGGUCUGUAGAGGAGCUCCUGACAUGCUUCUGCGUACCUCACUGGCCUGGGAACCGGCCACAGCCAGUCCUCGC